UAAGGAAUAUUGCUCAAUGGGAGAAAUCCUGAAGCAGCAACGCCGCGUGGAGGAUGAAGGGUCUAUGACUUGUAAACUCCUGUAAAGAAGGAAAAAAUUCCCAUUUGAUGGGAGAUGAUGGUACUUCUGGAGUAAGCCCCGGCUAACUACGUGCCAGCAGCCGCGGUAAUACGUAGGGGGCAAGCGUUGUCCGGAUUUACUGGGUGUAAAGGGUGCUCAGGCGGAUUUGUAAGUCAGAGGUGAAAUCUUACAGCUUAACUGUGAAACUGCCUUUGAUACUGCAAGCCUAGAGUAUGGAAGAGAGUGAUGGAAUAUCUGGUGUAGCAGUGAAAUGCGUAGAUAUCAGAUAGAACACCCAUGGCGAAGGCAGUCACUUGGUCCAUUACUGACGCUAAAGCACGAAAGCGUGGGUAGCAAACA
This 420-nucleotide ribosomal RNA is filed under the name uncultured bacterium. RNAcentral's name for it is "bacterial SSU rRNA". It matches the Rfam family "Bacterial small subunit ribosomal RNA", at positions 355 to 774 of the family's 1533-position model. The record is from RNAcentral.